RNAcentral lists this ribosomal RNA (1475 nucleotides) under metagenome. RNAcentral's name for it is "bacterial SSU rRNA". It matches the Rfam family "Bacterial small subunit ribosomal RNA". The record is from RNAcentral.
AGAGUUUGAUCCUGGCUCAGGACGAACGCUGGCGGCGCGCCUAACACAUGCAAGUCGAACGAGCGAGAGAGAGUUUACUUUUUCGAGCGAGUGGCGAACGGGUGAGUAACGCGUGAGGAACCUGCCUCAAAGAGGGGGACAACAGUUGGAAACGACUGCUAAUACCGCAUAAGCCCACGACCCGGCAUCGGGUAGAGGGAAAAGGAGCAAUCCGCUUUGAGAUGGCCUCGCGUCCGAUUAGCUAGUUGGUGAGGUAACGGCCCACCAAGGCGACGAUCGGUAGCCGGACUGAGAGGUUGAACGGCCACAUUGGGACUGAGACACGGCCCAGACUCCUACGGGAGGCAGCAGUGGGGAAUAUUGCACAAUGGGGGAAACCCUGAUGCAGCGACGCCGCGUGGAGGAAGAAGGUCUUCGGAUUGUAAACUCCUGUUGUUGAGGAAGAUAAUGACGGUACUCAACAAGGAAGUGACGGCUAACUACGUGCCAGCAGCCGCGGUAAAACGUAGGUCACAAGCGUUGUCCGGAAUUACUGGGUGUAAAGGGAGCGCAGGCGGGAAGACAAGUUGGAAGUGAAAUCCAUGGGCUCAACCCAUGAACUGCUUUCAAAACUGUUUUUCUUGAGUAGUGCAGAGGUAGGCGGAAUUCCCGGUGUAGCGGUGGAAUGCGUAGAUAUCGGGAGGAACACCAGUGGCGAAGGCGGCCUACUGGGCACCAACUGACGCUGAGGCUCGAAAGUGUGGGUAGCAAACAGGAUUAGAUACCCUGGUAGUCCACACUGUAAACGAUGAUUACUAGGUGUUGGAGGAUUGACCCCUUCAGUGCCGCAGUUAACACAAUAAGUAAUCCACCUGGGGAGUACGACCGCAAGGUUGAAACUCAAAGGAAUUGACGGGGGCCCGCACAAGCAGUGGAGUAUGUGGUUUAAUUCGACGCAACGCGAAGAACCUUACCAAGUCUUGACAUCCUGCGACGGUGCUGGAAACAGUACUUUCCUUCGGGAACAGGAAGACAGGUGGUGCAUGGUUGUCGUCAGCUCGUGUCGUGAGAUGUUGGGUUAAGUCCCGCAACGAGCGCAACCCUUAUUGUUAGUUGCUGCCAUUUAGUUGAGCACUCUAGCGAGACUGCCCGGGUUAACCGGGAGGAAGGUGGGGAUGACGUCAAAUCAUCAUGCCCCUUAUGUCUAGGGCUACACACGUGCUACAAUGGCAAGUACGAAGAGAAGCAAGACCGCGAGGUGGAGCAAAACUCAAAAACUUGUCUCAGUUCGGAUUGUAGGCUGAAACUCGCCUACGUGAAGCUGGAGUUGCUAGUAAUCGCGAAUCAGCAUGUCGCGGUGAAUACGUUCCCGGGCCUUGUACACACCGCCCGUCACACCAUGAGAGUUGGCAAUACCCAAAGUGCGUGAUCUGACUCGCAAGAGAGGAAGCGCCCUAAGGUAGGGUCAGCGAUAGGGGUGAAGUCGUAACAAGGUA